Molecule: ribosomal RNA, 253 nt
Filed under: uncultured bacterium
Lineage: Bacteria
Description: partial 16S ribosomal RNA
Rfam family: Bacterial small subunit ribosomal RNA
Source: RNAcentral
UACAGAGGUCCCAAGCGUUGUUCGGAUUCACUGGGCGUAAAGGGUGCGUAGGUGGUCGGGUAAGUCUGAUGUGAAAUCUCGGAGCUCAACUCCGAAACUGCAUUGGAUACUAUUCGGCUUGAGAGUUGGAGGGGGGACUGGAAUUCUCGGUGUAGCAGUGAAAUGCGUAGAUAUCGAGAGGAACACCAGUGGCGAAGGCGAGUCCCUGGACAACUUCUGACACUGAGGCACGAAAGCUAGGGGAGCAAACAGG